This is a long non-coding RNA of Oreochromis aureus, 2379 nucleotides long. Lineage: Eukaryota; Metazoa; Chordata; Actinopteri; Cichliformes; Cichlidae. The record is from Ensembl.
UGUAAUUUAAAUCCACAAUGUCAUGUAAGUUCCCUGUUGCCAGGAGAGUGUAUAACACUUUGGACAGUAGGGGGCAGCAGCGUGCUUUGGGAACUGAGUCGGGUGCAUAGCUGCCGUAAGUUUUCCAUUGUGGCAAGACUGACCAGGCGAACGGCAGCGUGUCUCCUGUGUUCACUUUCUCUCCUGUUUUACAGGAUCGUAAUCUGGCUACGCGCCCAUCAUAGUGGGGCCUGUAACACAUGCAACAUGCAGCACCUGUACAUAAAAGGCCAAAGCAGUCUGUACUUCCUCAGGAGGCUGAGGUCCUUCAACAUCUGCAGGAAGCUCCUGAGGAUGUUUUAUCAGUUGGUAAGUAGGGGAGAGGGAGGGGAAACAGGAGGACAAAGGAGGGUGGGAACAACUGAGCUGUAGUGCCUUUUCACUGUGCAAUAUUUAUUUUGUUAUACUAUCAAUAAUAUUUGUAUGAAUAUGGGAUACUGUUAGAUGUUUGCAUAGACUUUUGUGGAAUAUGGAGACACUCCUGGCAUUAUAUGAGCAAAGUGAGACUCAUUUUUAGGGUUUGUGGAGAUGAGUGUGAAGAUCCAAACAAUCCCUGUCAGUGAUGGAGAAGCUUUGAUGAAUAAAUUUGGUAAAAAGUUCACCAGCAUGAAGGAAAUGAAGUUCUCAAACUUUCCUAAAGAGGACCCCAGCACGCCUGCUUAAAGAAAAGGACUGUUUGCAAACAUCUCAGAGAGAGGAGACACCAGCAUCUGAACAGAGACUCAAACCAGCAACCUGCAGGUCCCUGCUUGGCUGCUCCAGUUUUCUCCUCACUCAUGUUGCCCACCAGUGAUUUCUAGCUGCCCACCCACACAGCAGGCUAGAAUAUGCGCUGAGCCUCAGCACCAUGGUUGCAAUACUUGGACAUGUUUUCUUUAUUAAAUAAUGAACCAGACCCCAAAAAGUAAACAGCUGUUAUUGCUAGGCAACGGGAGCAGCAUUUGGUGAUGCAGCACCUGACAUUCCUGACCAUGUGGGCGGAGCAUGCGUGAAAUGGAAUGUUUAGUAGAACUGUGCAACACAAGCACUUAGUUACGGCAUUUUUCAUUGUAUCCAGACACAGUUAGAGACACAUCUACAGCAGCAUCUCUGUGCAGGACAAACGACAGUUGAAGAUAUAAAACAUCAAAAACUUCACUUCUCUACAGUACGUUGGUUCCUUUGUUUAAAAGGCCAAAAUGAAUCAAGGGAGAUCGAGAAGAGGAUUGGCGAGUGCUUCACCAUACAGUACAGUGAAGUCUGAGCUGACUAACCUACGAGAGGAAUUUCAAAUAAUACAGGCUGAAAAUGUCAAAUUAAAAGAAGAGGCAGAAAAAUCAAGAGGAGAAGCUAAAAAUUCAAAGUUUGAAACUGAAGUAGUAUUGCAGGAAUUACUGCAUGUGGGUCUAAAACUUAAAGGAGAGAAGAUGGAAAAACAACGGGCAGAAAAUGAGAAUGAAAAUAUAAAGAAAGAACUGUUGGAAGCUGAAAAAGCAUUGGAGGAAGAGAAAACCACAGCACAAGAAGCCAAAAAUAAAUAUCAAACUGCAAAGAAGGAGGCAGAAAAUGUGAUGCAGGAAUUACAGGAGGUGCAGAAAGAUUUUGAAAAGGAAAAGAGGAAAAUGCAGUUGGCAACACAAGAAGCUGAAAAUGUAAUGGCUGAAGCUGAAAUAGUUAGGAAGGAAUUCCUGCAUGUAAAGCAACAACUUGAAGAGGAGAAAAAACGUAAACAUGAGGCAGAAAAUGAGAUUGAAAAUAUGAAGAAAGAAUUGUUGGAAGCUCAAAAAGUGUUGGAGGAAGAGAAAAUGAAAAUACAGGAAGCAAAGAAAGAAAUGGAAAAUACAAAUAGUUACACUCAAAACAUGAAGAAGAAGUUGCUGGAAACACAGGAAGCAAUAGAAAAAGAGACACGUGGAAAAUGGGAGGCAAAACAGGAAAGUGAAACUCUGAAGAAGGAACUGAUGAAAGUGCAAGAAGAACUUGCAGAAGAGAAAACUGAGGUGAAGGUAUUCAAGAAAGAAAUGACAGGCUCUGCGAGGACCAAGAAAGACUGCAAAGAUGCACUUAAAGAAAUACGAAAGCACAAAAAGGAAGCUAAAGAGCUCCUCAAACAGAAAGUGAAACUGGCCAAACGGCAGCUGAAAGAAAAAUUUAAAGACGCCGAGGAGCAGCUAAACAAAACGUUGAAAGAGCUGAAGGCAAAAGAAAAAGAAAAGAAAGCCGAGGAGACGAGGGGAUUCUGGAGCAGACUGCUGAGAAAGAACUGACCCAGCAGCAUCAAGUUUAAGGAGAUCAACAGUUUCGUCCUCCUUCCCCCUCUCUCCACCUUUCUUUCACCCCAUCCUUCUUCUUCUCUCUCUC